CAAAACUCUCAGCCAGGGGUAGACUACUUAGCUGUGACAGCAUCAUGUGCACAUUGAAGAGUAUUUCAUAAUUAUAAAAUAAUUAUUUCAUAAUUAUAAAAAGCAGCAUUGGACUGCUUUGGAAGAUGAACAGUGUCAGAUUGGAGAAAGCCUGGAACAUCGUGACAUGACAGGCCUAAAUGAUCUCUGGAAAGUGGAACACUUGGAAGAGGUUAACCACGCAGGGUUUGUUGGUGACAUCAGUCUUGUAGAUAUUUAGGAUGAGAGCUUAUAGAUUCAAACCUCCAUGCUAGCAGUUAACUUCUUCUUCUGUGUAUUUUUGGAAAAAAACAAGAUAAUCUUUUGGAAGAGAAUUCUAAGUAGGCAUUAUUAGAUAGUAGCAAAGUAAUUAUGGGUUUUGCUAUUUUAGAAGAAAUAGGAGUGUUGCAGUCUUUUCCAAGCUGCUUCACUGUUAGGGAGUUUGCUGAAACCAGCUUCCUAAGGCAUGAAUGCUUGAACAAACCUACUAGUAGAAAAACUUGUAAAAACUUGGUAAAUUAGGAAAAAAAAAAUCAGAUUACAUGCACUUAAGCAGAAGGAUGAACAAAAAUGCAAAAAAAAAAAAAAAAGCACUUAAUUAUGAAGAUAAUGUCAGAUUUUCCAGUUACAGAUGGUACAACUUAUUUAGUCUCCUGCAAAGACUCAGGUGGCAGCUAUUGCCUUGUGUUCACAGCCACGGCUGACAUGCGUGGCCAGCUGCCUGCAGUUCUACCCAGCACUGCAGAUGAGCCACUCUGGGCUACCAAAUCACCCACAGUCUCAGGAAGAUGGAUGUUCUUUAUCAUCUUUCAGUCUUCGGAGGAAUUUGUUAAUGGCUUUGCGACAAUGGUUCAUCUCAGAUAUGGUUUAAAGAUGACAUCGUUAGGAGGAGGAAUAGCCAGAAGGGUUUUGGUUGCCAUUUGGUGAGUCUGGGAAGGAGCUAGAUGCCAAAAAGAGUUGUAGAAAGGAGCAGGCAUCAUCCAGACUAGUGAGAAGUGGUAGGACUAGAACUUAAAGGCUUUGAGAACUGUAGAACUUAUGAUUAAAAGAAAUGCAUGGAAGUAAGCAUCUUGAAAGGCGUGCAACAAGUUUUAUGGCAUAUCUCUAACUAAGGCAAAAUAUUGAAAAUUGCCAUAGAUUUGUUUACAAGAGUAUAUUUGUAUGUGUGGGAAUCUCUGACCGAGGACAUGCCCUAUGGCAUGUUCUAGACCUGUUCUGUGCAGUGUAUCAAUUUAAUCCCUGAGGCAACUGUUUCAGCAUUAGAACAAAUAAACCAAGGUUGUAUUGCAUUUUGGAUUCAUGAACUGCUCUGGUUGUCGUGUACCAAAUUAUUUGUGGUAAAGUAAUAGAAGUAAGAGUAAGUAUCCUGGGAAGUAAAGGUUGUGUCUUGCCAUGUCUCUAAUGGAUGUGUAUGUUUAACUAGCACAUUAUCUAGUACAUUUAAUCCUUUGUGAAUAUGAGGUUUUAUUUAGGAAUUUUUCUGUUUCUCAGCAAAACUGUUGACUGCUCCCUAUAAUAAUAAAUAGACUGUUGAUAAAAUAUGCCACUGGUAUUUUGUAAAUAUAAUUAGUCUGGAAGUUCUGUUUCUUUUUGCAGUUCUACAGUUGUCUGUUGUGACCUUCUCCUCAUAGUAACAAACAUGAAAAAUACGCUUGGAAUGUACGUGAAAGUUAUUUUCGAUUGCUCUACAAAAGCCAUUGACAGUUUGUUGCAUACUGUUGCAUCUUUUUUAUUUAUUUGACCAGGACCAGGCCAAAUGUAUGUUCUAAGCCUAAAGUAUAAUCAGUUACCAGUUCAUACCUUUGUUCUUGUAUGACCCUGUUUGUCCUUUGUGUUUGUUAUAUGAGCUAUCAUACCUGCAUAUAUAUGAUUUAUGUUUUUAAUAGUUCUGACAUAAAACUAGGCCUAGUUGGCUGAAGAAGAGUUCAUAGAAAAUAUUCAAUACAUGGAUUCUUGUGCUAAUACGAGUGCACUGUUUCUGUCCAAGCAGUCAGGCAGCUCUGAAUCUUUCCUGGAUGUGGCUGUAAAUUUAAAUGCUUUUGAUAACAAGCACAAAGUGUGCUUGCUGUUUGUUUUCUGUUUGUAAGAAAAAAGAAUAGAGCCUUUUCAGUGUUUACCUACACAGAUGAACAUCUGCCCUUCCAGUUUUAGAUUAUUUUUGUUUUACAUUAAGGAAAAAUAGCAAUGACCAAACAUUCUGCACACACACACACAAAAUUCAGACACUUCAUAUAGCUCAUCUGAAAUACAAAAUGCUGUGGUGCAGGAGCAGGUUUGGAAACAUCAAAGUGGAAAUGACUGUGGGUCCGUGUUAUUUAAAACUUGGACCAGUGACUUGCUUUGAAUCAUGUUGCUAUCAAACGAUCUUUAAAACAUGUUUGCAAUUAUGCCAAAAUUGUGAAGUUCCUAGGUCACUUUAGCAAGGUGAAAGUCUUCUUGAGGUAUCACUCCCUUGAGAAGUUUGCAUUAGUAAUUUUCAGGUAGGCAUUAUGGAGAAUAUAUAUUUGCUCCGCAUUAGAUUAAGAGUCCUUAAGAUUAGAUGAAGAGUCCUUCAUCUCUGUGGUAGCACACGGUAUGUUUUAUUUUGUCCUAAGAGACAUGGCCAUUCUGUAAAAACUAGAUUCUCCACGAAGAGAAAACCAAAAUACUUAAUAGGCUGGACUCCCAGUACUGGAAACUGCCAUCACCGAGCCCACUGGUGCAAUCCUGCUGUGAUGUCUGUGCCCACCAUCCUGAUCUGUUGAGGUCCUAGAUGGAGCUCCGCACUGACCUGCAUGCAAUGCAAGCGUGCUUCCAGCCUUUGGCAGCCUUUCAGCAAUGAGAUUGCACCUGCGUCUUGUGAAAGUCACAUUGCACCUCUCAGGAGUAAUGCUGAAUCCUUAAGGUGGCACUGUGUGUACCAGCACUGAUGUUCUGCAAGGACUAGAAGAAACUUCUGAGGGAAGCACACUGGUCAAGGCUGCCAUGUAUGGAACUGUGAGUAUGAAGACAGACCAGGGCACCAGACCACCUGCAAUAGCAAUGAUCAGUUCCAUGGAGAAAGCUUGGAGAAAGCUGUUCCAUAGAAACUUUUAGAUGAACACUCAAUGAAAAGAAAGUCAUCUUGCUCCUCAGUGUGACUGCAUGAAAAUCUACUGGGACAAGUUCACAUGAAUAACUGGCACAGAGGCAAGCAUGGAUCGUAAUUUUAUGUGUUCUUAAGUGGCUUAGCUUUUCUGGUGCAACUUUGUUUUGGGAUCAGUGCUCAGUAAUAUGUAUAGGUCUCUACAUUUGCUUGAAAAGCCUCAUGUUACAUUACUGAAACAACAGGCAAAAGACUCACUGACAAUAGCUUUAUUCAACCUUGCUGAAAAUGUUAAGUCCUGUAACAAUAAAGGCUUAACUGUUCUACAGGCUGGCCAACUGGUCUUUGCAUACUACAGGAAACAAUUGCAGGCAUUUAGCAUUUCAGGACAUAUAAGCCAGAACUACUCAGGGAUGCAGGAUGUGAAUAUAUACCCCUGGUGCUUCCACGCUGUUUGUGGAAUGGCAGAAAAGCACAUUCCAUUAGUCCAUGUUGGCAACCUCAUCUUGGAAAAUUACAUAUAUUGCAGAAAUUUCAGUUUUGUUUUCAUACAUUCAGGUGAGACUGAUGAGAUUGUUUCACAUACUGUUUAUUUGCACCUGUA
This 3686-nucleotide long non-coding RNA is filed under the name Gallus gallus (chicken). RNAcentral describes it as "lncRNA (ENSGALG00010013840.1)". The record is from RNAcentral. Lineage: Eukaryota; Metazoa; Chordata; Aves; Galliformes; Phasianidae.